AUUGAACGCUGGCGGCAAGCCUAACACAUGCAAGUCGAACGAGUGGCGGACGGGUGAGCAAUGUCUGGGAAACUGCCUGAUGGAGGGGGAUAACUACUGGAAACGGUAGCUAAUACCGCAUACCAUCGGAUGUGCCCAGAUGGGAUUAGCGAGUAGGUGGGGUAAAGGCUCACCUAGGCGACGAUCCCUAGCUGGUAUGAGAGGAUGACCAGCCACACCGGAACUUAUACACGGUCCAGACUCCUGCGGAAUGACGCAGUGGGGAAUAGUGCACAAUGGGCGCAAGUCUGAUGCUGCCAUGCCGCGUGUAUGAAGAAGGCCUUCUGGUUGUAGAGUACUUUCAGCGGGGAGGCGUUACCCUCAGAAGAAGCACCGGCUAACUCCGUGCCAGCAGCCGCGGUAAUAC
This 406-nucleotide ribosomal RNA is filed under the name uncultured bacterium. RNAcentral describes it as "partial 16S ribosomal RNA". It matches the Rfam family "Bacterial small subunit ribosomal RNA", at positions 30 to 526 of the family's 1533-position model. The record is from RNAcentral.